CCCUUAGAUGUCCUGGGCCGCACGCGCGUUACACUGAUGCAUUCAACGAGCUUAUAACCUUGGCCGAGAGGCCUGGGCAAUCUUGUUAACGUGCAUCGUGAUAGGGAUAGAUUAUUGAAAUUAUUAAUCUUGAACGAGGAAUUCCUAGUAAACGCAGAUCAUCAAUCUGCAUUGACUACGUCCCUGCCCUUUGUACACACCGCCCGUCGCACCUACCGAUUGGAUGGUCCGGUGAAGCCUCGGGAUUGUGGUUCUUGCCGCUUUAUUGUAGCGUGACCGCGAGAACUUGUCUAAACCUUAUCAUCUAGAGGAAGGUGAAGUCGUAACA
Molecule: ribosomal RNA, 328 nt
Filed under: uncultured eukaryote
Lineage: Eukaryota
Description: partial 18S ribosomal RNA
Rfam family: Eukaryotic small subunit ribosomal RNA
Source: RNAcentral